RNAcentral lists this transfer RNA (69 nucleotides) under Gastrotheca cornuta (horned marsupial frog). RNAcentral's name for it is "tRNA-Val". It matches the Rfam family "tRNA". From Rfam's summary of the family: Transfer RNA (tRNA) molecules are approximately 80 nucleotides in length. The record is from RNAcentral. Lineage: Eukaryota; Metazoa; Chordata; Amphibia; Anura; Hemiphractidae.
CAUAAUAUAGCUUAAUAAAAGCGUUUCGCUUACACCGAAAAGAUAUCCGUUAAAACCUGAUUUUUAUGA